This 822-nucleotide ribosomal RNA is filed under the name human gut metagenome. RNAcentral's name for it is "bacterial SSU rRNA". It matches the Rfam family "Bacterial small subunit ribosomal RNA", at positions 8 to 828 of the family's 1533-position model. The record is from RNAcentral.
AGAGUUUGAUCCUGGCUCAGGAUGAACGCUGGCGGCGUGCCUAAUACAUGCAAGUCGAACGCUUCACUUCGGUGAAGAGUGGCGAACGGGUGAGUAAUACAUAAGUAACCUGGCAUCUACAGGGGGAUAACUGAUGGAAACGUCAGCUAAGACCGCAUAGGUGUAGAGAUCGCAUGAACUCUAUAUGAAAAGUGCUACGGGACUGGUAGAUGAUGGACUUAUGGCGCAUUAGCUGGUUGGUAGGGUAACGGCCUACCAAGGCGACGAUGCGUAGCCGACCUGAGAGGGUGACCGGCCACACUGGGACUGAGACACGGCCCAGACUCCUACGGGAGGCAGCAGUAGGGAAUUUUCGGCAAUGGGGGAAACCCUGACCGAGCAACGCCGCGUGAAGGAAGAAGUAAUUCGUUAUGUAAACUUCUGUCAUAGAGGAAGAACGGUGGAUAUAGGGAAUGAUAUCCAAGUGACGGUACUCUAUAAGAAAGCCACGGCUAACUACGUGCCAGCAGCCGCGGUAAUACGUAGGUGGCGAGCGUUAUCCGGAAUUAUUGGGCGUAAAGAGGGAGCAGGCGGCACUAAGGGUCUGUGGUGAAAGAUCGAAGCUUAACUUCGGUAAGCCAUGGAAACCGUAGAGCUAGAGUGUGUGAGAGGAUCGUGGAAUUCCAUGUGUAGCGGUGAAAUGCGUAGAUAUAUGGAGGAACACCAGUGGCGAAGGCGACGAUCUGGCGCAUAACUGACGCUCAGUCCCGAAAGCGUGGGGAGCAAAUAGGAUUAGAUACCCUAGUAGUCCACGCCGUAAACGAUGAGUACUAAGUGUUGGGG